GUUAUUUUGGACUACACUAUUAGUCUAAGUCCUUCGAGGACUCCGUUAUUAAGGUGAUGACACCUGUGGAUACUUCUCUAGUCUACAGCUCUGUCGCUAGUGAUUGAACACUCCUUAGAGUCAUGGGAUAGUGUGGCUAGCUGAACAAGCCUUAAUAACUUUGACGGAGAGGCUCAAC
This is a non-coding RNA of Beggiatoa sp. IS2, 178 nucleotides long. Lineage: Bacteria; Pseudomonadati; Pseudomonadota; Gammaproteobacteria; Thiotrichales; Thiotrichaceae. The record is from Rfam.